Molecule: signal recognition particle RNA, 281 nt
Filed under: Nannospalax galili (Upper Galilee mountains blind mole rat)
Lineage: Eukaryota; Metazoa; Chordata; Mammalia; Rodentia; Spalacidae
Description: Metazoan signal recognition particle RNA (ENSNGAG00000006514.1)
Rfam family: Metazoan signal recognition particle RNA
About the family: The signal recognition particle (SRP) is a universally conserved ribonucleoprotein. It is involved in the co-translational targeting of proteins to membranes.
Source: RNAcentral
GCCUGUAGUUCCAGGUACUCUGGAGGCUGAGGUAGGAGGAUCGCUUGAGUCCAGGAGUUCUGGGCUGUAGCAUGCUGUGCCAAUCGGGUGUCCACACUAAGUUCGGAAUCAAUAUGGUGACCUCCCUGGAGCCGGGGACCACCAGGUUGCCUAAGGAGGGGUGAACCAGCCUAGGUUGGAAACAGAACAGGUCAAAACUUCUGUGCUGAUCAGUAGUGGGAUCGUGCCUGUGAAUAGCCACUGCACUCCAGCCUGGGAAAUAUAACAAGAUCCCGUACUCA